GAUGAACGCUGGCGGCGUGCCUAAUACAUGCAAGUCGAGCGAACAGACGAGGAGCUUGCUCCUUUGACGUUAGCGGCGGACGGGUGAGUAACACGUGGGUAACCUACCUAUAAGACUGGGAUAACUUCGGGAAACCGGAGCUAAUACCGGAUAAUAUUUCGAACUGCAUGGUUCGAUAGUGAAAGAUGGCUUUGCUAUCACUUAUAGAUGGACCUGCGCCGUAUUAGCUAGUUGGUAAGGUAACGGCUUACCAAGGCAACGAUACGUAGCCGACCUGAGAGGUGAUCGGCCACACUGGAACUGAGACACGGUCCAGACUCUACGGGAGGCAGCAGUAGGGAAUCUUCCGCAAUGGGCGAAAGCCUGACGGAGCAACGCCGCGUGAGUGAUGAAGGUCUU
RNAcentral lists this ribosomal RNA (399 nucleotides) under uncultured bacterium. RNAcentral's name for it is "bacterial SSU rRNA". It matches the Rfam family "Bacterial small subunit ribosomal RNA", at positions 28 to 418 of the family's 1533-position model. The record is from RNAcentral.